Boothiomyces macroporosus is the source of this 88-nucleotide non-coding RNA. Lineage: Eukaryota; Fungi; Chytridiomycota; Chytridiomycetes; Rhizophydiales; Terramycetaceae. The record is from the annotation of a GenBank genome assembly.
GCUUCUUUAGCUCAAAUGGUAGAGCAGCCCUCACUUGAAAUUGAAAUAUCACUCGGGAAGGAUGUUGGUUCAAAUCCAGCAAGAAGCA